This 440-nucleotide ribosomal RNA is filed under the name uncultured bacterium. RNAcentral describes it as "bacterial SSU rRNA". It matches the Rfam family "Bacterial small subunit ribosomal RNA", at positions 28 to 453 of the family's 1533-position model. The record is from RNAcentral.
GAUGAACGCUAGCUACAGGCUUAACACAUGCAAGUCGAGGGGCAGCAUGGUCUUAGCUUGCUAAGGCCGAUGGCGACCGGCGCACGGGUGAGUAACACGUAUCCAACCUGCCGUCUACUCUUGGACAGCCUUCUGAAAGGAAGAUUAAUACAAGAUGGCAUCAUGAGUCCGCAUGUUCACAUGAUUAAAGGUAUUCCGGUAGACGAUGGGGAUGCGUUCCAUUAGAUAGUAGGCGGGGUAACGCCCACCAAGGCUACGAUCAGUAGGGGUUCUGAGAGGAAGGUCCCCCAAUUGGGAACUGAGACACGGGUCCAAACUCCUACGGGAGCAGGCAGUGAGGGAAUAUUGGGUCAAUGGGCAGAGCCUGAACCAGGCCAAGUAGCGUGCAGGGAUGACGGGCCCUAUGGGUUGUAAACUGCUUUUUAUAAGGGAAUAAAGUG